UUAAGCGACUAAGCGUACACGGUGGAUGCCCUGGCAGUCAGAGGCGAUGAAGGACGUGCUAAUCUGCGAUAAGCGUCGGUGAGGUGAUAUGAACCGUUAUAACCGGCGAUUUCCGAAUGGGGAAACCCAGUGUGUUUCGACACACUAUCAUUAACUGAAUCCAUAGGUUAAUGAGGCGAACCGGGGGAACUGAAACAUCUAAGUACCCCGAGGAAAAGAAAUCAACCGAGAUUCCCCCAGUAGCGGCGAGCGAACGGGGAGGAGCCCAGAGCCUGAAUCAGUGUGUGUGUUAGUGGAAGCGUCUGGAAAGGCGCGCGAUACAGGGUGACAGCCCCGUACACAAAAAUGCACAUGUUGUGAGCUCGAUGAGUAGGGCGGGACACGUGGUAUCCUGUCUGAAUAUGGGGGGACCAUCCUCCAAGGCUAAAUACUCCUGACUGACCGAUAGUGAACCAGUACCGUGAGGGAAAGGCGAAAAGAACCCCGGCGAGGGGAGUGAAAAAGAACCUGAAACCGUGUACGUACAAGCAGUGGGAGCCUCUUAAUGGGGUGACUGCGUACCUUUUGUAUAAUGGGUCAGCGACUUAUAUUCUGUAGCAAGGUUAACCGAAUAGGGGAGCCGAAGGGAAACCGAGUCUUAACUGGGCGUUAAGUUGCAGGGUAUAGACCCGAAACCCGGUGAUCUAGCCAUGGGCAGGUUGAAGGUUGGGUAACACUAACUGGAGGACCGAACCGACUAAUGUUGAAAAAUUAGCGGAUGACUUGUGGCUGGGGGUGAAAGGCCAAUCAAACCGGGAGAUAGCUGGUUCUCCCCGAAAGCUAUUUAGGUAGCGCCUCGUGAAUUCAUCUCCGGGGGUAGAGCACUGUUUCGGCAAGGGGGUCAUCCCGACUUACCAACCCGAUGCAAACUGCGAAUACCGGAGAAUGUUAUCACGGGAGACACACGGCGGGUGCUAACGUCCGUCGUGAAGAGGGAAACAACCCAGACCGCCAGCUAAGGUCCCAAAGUCAUGGUUAAGUGGGAAACGAUGUGGGAAGGCCCAGACAGCCAGGAUGUUGGCUUAGAAGCAGCCAUCAUUUAAAGAAAGCGUAAUAGCUCACUGGUCGAGUCGGCCUGCGCGGAAGAUGUAACGGGGCUAAACCAUGCACCGAAGCUGCGGCAGCGACACUAUGUGUUGUUGGGUAGGGGAGCGUUCUGUAAGCCUGUGAAGGUGGCCUGUGAGGGUUGCUGGAGGUAUCAGAAGUGCGAAUGCUGACAUAAGUAACGAUAAAGCGGGUGAAAAGCCCGCUCGCCGGAAGACCAAGGGUUCCUGUCCAACGUUAAUCGGGGCAGGGUGAGUCGACCCCUAAGGCGAGGCCGAAAGGCGUAGUCGAUGGGAAACAGGUUAAUAUUCCUGUACUUGGUGUUACUGCGAAGGGGGGACGGAGAAGGCUAUGUUGGCCGGGCGACGGUUGUCCCGGUUUAAGCGUGUAGGCUGGUUUUCCAGGCAAAUCCGGAAAACCAAGGCUGAGGCGUGAUGACGAGGCACUACGGUGCUGAAGCGACAAAUGCCCUGCUUCCAGGAAAAGCCUCUAAGCAUCAGGUAACAUCAAAUCGUACCCCAAACCGACACAGGUGGUCAGGUAGAGAAUACCAAGGCGCUUGAGAGAACUCGGGUGAAGGAACUAGGCAAAAUGGUGCCGUAACUUCGGGAGAAGGCACGCUGAUAUGUAGGUGAAGCGACUUGCUCGUGGAGCUGAAAUCAGUCGAAGAUACCAGCUGGCUGCAACUGUUUAUUAAAAACACAGCACUGUGCAAACACGAAAGUGGACGUAUACGGUGUGACGCCUGCCCGGUGCCGGAAGGUUAAUUGAUGGGGUUAGCGGCAACGCGAAGCUCUUGAUCGAAGCCCCGGUAAACGGCGGCCGUAACUAUAACGGUCCUAAGGUAGCGAAAUUCCUUGUCGGGUAAGUUCCGACCUGCACGAAUGGCGUAAUGAUGGCCAGGCUGUCUCCACCCGAGACUCAGUGAAAUUGAACUCGCUGUGAAGAUGCAGUGUACCCGCGGCAAGACGGAAAGACCCCGUGAACCUUUACUAUAGCUUGACACUGAACAUUGAGCCUUGAUGUGUAGGAUAGGUGGGAGGCUUUGAAGUGUGGACGCCAGUCUGCAUGGAGCCGACCUUGAAAUACCACCCUUUAAUGUUUGAUGUUCUAACGUUGGCCCGUAAUCCGGGUUGCGGACAGUGUCUGGUGGGUAGUUUGACUGGGGCGGUCUCCUCCUAAAGAGUAACGGAGGAGCACGAAGGUUGGCUAAUCCUGGUCGGACAUCAGGAGGUUAGUGCAAUGGCAUAAGCCAGCUUGACUGCGAGCGUGACGGCGCGAGCAGGUGCGAAAGCAGGUCAUAGUGAUCCGGUGGUUCUGAAUGGAAGGGCCAUCGCUCAACGGAUAAAAGGUACUCCGGGGAUAACAGGCUGAUACCGCCCAAGAGUUCAUAUCGACGGCGGUGUUUGGCACCUCGAUGUCGGCUCAUCACAUCCUGGGGCUGAAGUAGGUCCCAAGGGUAUGGCUGUUCGCCAUUUAAAGUGGUACGCGAGCUGGGUUUAGAACGUCGUGAGACAGUUCGGUCCCUAUCUGCCGUGGGCGCUGGAGAACUGAGGGGGGCUGCUCCUAGUACGAGAGGACCGGAGUGGACGCAUCACUGGUGUUCGGGUUGUCAUGCCAAUGGCACUGCCCGGUAGCUAAAUGCGGAAGAGAUAAGUGCUGAAAGCAUCUAAGCACGAAACUUGCCCCGAGAUGAGUUCUCCCUGACUCCUUGAGAGUCCUGAAGGAACGUUGAAGACGACGACGUUGAUAGGCCGGGUGUGUAAGCGCAGCGAUGCGUUGAGCUAACCGGUACUAAUGAACCGUGAGGCUUAACCUU
Molecule: ribosomal RNA, 2902 nt
Filed under: Escherichia coli HVH 228 (4-7787030)
Lineage: Bacteria; Pseudomonadati; Pseudomonadota; Gammaproteobacteria; Enterobacterales; Enterobacteriaceae
Description: bacterial LSU rRNA
Rfam family: Bacterial large subunit ribosomal RNA
Source: RNAcentral